GUGCUCACUUCGGCAGCACAUAAUACUAAAAUUGGAAUGAUACAGAGAUUAGCAAGGCCCCUGUGCAAGGAUGACAUAUGCAAAUUCAUGAAGCAUUCCAUAUUAAA
This 107-nucleotide small nuclear RNA is filed under the name Acinonyx jubatus (cheetah). RNAcentral also lists the same sequence under 2 other names. Lineage: Eukaryota; Metazoa; Chordata; Mammalia; Carnivora; Felidae. The record is from RNAcentral.